Molecule: long non-coding RNA, 1455 nt
Organism: Mauremys reevesii (Reeves's turtle)
Lineage: Eukaryota; Metazoa; Chordata; Testudines; Geoemydidae
Exons: 6
Source: RefSeq, a predicted model, not a curated record
GGAGUGUAGGUGGUGCUUCUGGCUAGCCAAAGGGAACUGCAGCACCAUGUACAGCUCAGUUCUGGUGGGGAGGGUGGAACAGCUUUGAGCUGGUGGCUAGGCCUGAACAUAGAAGGGGCCUGAGGUAAGGGUAAAGCUUUGGUGAAGGCUGGGGCAUGGGCAAGUGACCCAGGGAACUGCAGGCAGUUUUGUUAAAGGGACGUUGUUGCUAUUCUUAGGGUUCUGGGGCUGGGACUUGGAGCAGUGGGCAGACCUGGAUCCUUCUCCCAUAGGACACUGGGGAAGAGGCCUACAGUUGUAUACUGAUAACCACCCAGAAGGGGAUCUGAGCUACUUAGUGGCCUAGUUGGGGCCAGAGAGGGUGAAACCAUUGCUUCCCAGGAGGAAGUCCUGGGGGUAUGGCCUGAUACCAGGGCUGGGAUUCUCUAAAGACUGCAGACACACCUGAGCAGAAGGGGGUGCUUGUGAGAGGUGGAUACCAUGCUAUCAAAGUGCUAGGUCAAGGGACGAAUUCUUCAGUCACCCUAUCUACUGCCUCUCAGGAAGAUGGAUUAUCUACUCUGAUGGGAGCAUCCUUCCUGACUGUGAAGAAAGUGUCUACACUAGAAUUCAAAUGGCACAGCUGUGUAGACACAGUUCCUAGACAACCCCUUACUACCAACUAUAGUGAUGCCUGCACAGGCCAGUACCUGGAAUACUAGUAUCGAAAACAAAGAUUUCAUAACAAACCAAAGUGUAGUCAAGCAAUUGACCAUACAAUUUAUCGUAUUUCUCAGGUACCCAUCAUGGUAACAUCUGAACGUCUCCGAAGACAGUCCUAACUCAAGAGAGGAUCUAAAGAGUGCACACUACAUUUUCUCUACAUGCCAGGAGGAUUCUUUCCCCCUUCUUUCGGAGCAUAGACUUGUCAAGAGGAUUAAUCAAUCACCCAUCUACAAUGGGGAAUACUGUGGACUAGCAGCUGGAAAAUGGGAAACUGCAUCUCCAUGCUCCAAAUAGGGCUUGUAGAAAUCGUAUACUUAACGACUCUAAUGAUGGACUUCAGAAGCCUGAGGAAAGCUUGAAAAUCCUAAUGAUGCAUCUUCUGGGACUUUCUACAGAACAAAACAGGGGAGGGAGGUUGCCUUUCGUUUUUAUACAAUACAGAUACUAAUUUUCUGACUUUUAAAACAUGGAUGAUUGUCAGUGACUAAGUCUAAUUAAAGACAAUGCCACUAAAGAGCAGGAAUCAAGUAUUUAAGAGAUACAAAAUAUGGAUGAUGAAAUGGAGUGGAAAACUGUACAUUGAACCAUGUAAUUGCAGUACUCUGGUUUCACCCUUAUGAAAAUCAACAUCAUAUACACAGAGGAUGAUAAAAAUAAAAUGUUAACUGAAAUAAUCGUGUAGUAAAUUGGUUUGAAAACUAUGAAUGUUGUCCUGCAGAUAAUUAAGAUUUCAAUUCUAUUUCCUUUUGA